UAAGGAAUAUUGGACAAUGGUCGCAAGACUGAUCCAGCCAUGCCGCGUGCAGGAUGACUGCCCUAUGGGUUGUAAACUGCUUUUGUACGGGAAAAAACCCCUCUACGUGUAGAGGGCUGAUUGUACCGUAAGAAUAAGGAUCGGCUAACUCCGUGCCAGCAGCCGCGGUAAUACGGAGGAUCCAAGCGUUAUCCGGAUUUAUUGGGUUUAAAGGGUGCGUAGGCGGAAUUGUAAGUCAGUGGUGAAAGCCCUUCGCUUAACGAAGGAACUGCCAUUGAUACUGCAAAUCUUGAGUACAUUUGACGAGGGCGGAAUGUGUCAUGUAGCGGUGAAAUGCUUAGAUAUGACACAGAACACCGAUUGCGAAGGCAGCUCUCGAAACUGUAACUGACGCUGAGGCACGAAAGCGUGGGUAUCAAACAG
This 423-nucleotide ribosomal RNA is filed under the name uncultured bacterium. RNAcentral's name for it is "bacterial SSU rRNA". It matches the Rfam family "Bacterial small subunit ribosomal RNA", at positions 355 to 775 of the family's 1533-position model. The record is from RNAcentral.